This 201-nucleotide ribosomal RNA is filed under the name uncultured fungus. RNAcentral's name for it is "partial 28S ribosomal RNA". It matches the Rfam family "Eukaryotic large subunit ribosomal RNA", at positions 75 to 276 of the family's 3401-position model. The record is from RNAcentral. Lineage: Eukaryota; Fungi.
UUACCUCAGUAACGGCGAGUGAAGCGGUAACAGCUCAAAUUUGAAAUCUGGCAGCAAUGUCCGAGUUGUAAUUUGUAGAGGAUGUUUCGAGCAUGGUCUGGCCUAAGUUCCUUGGAACAGGACGUCAUAGAGGGUGAGAAUCCCGUAUGCGGUCAGGUGCCUACGCUCAUGUGAAACUCCUUCGACGAGUCGAGUUGUUUG